RNAcentral lists this long non-coding RNA (2079 nucleotides) under Zea mays. Its description in RNAcentral is "long non-coding RNA (ZMAY_LNC002178)". The record is from RNAcentral. Lineage: Eukaryota; Viridiplantae; Streptophyta; Magnoliopsida; Poales; Poaceae.
AAAAAACAAACAUCAUUUGACAUCAAGUUUCUAAUUAAAUCAUGGCUGCAACUGGGCAGCGUUAUUAUAAUAGUGAAGGUGGACGUGCUGCUACUUCCCUCAUUCCCAACAUGAAUCAAAUACCUGCAUUGAGUAAUGCAAGAGUGAGAUGAUACAUCUCAGCAAGCAAAUUAUUUUGACGAGAUAUUUAAACCACAAAUUGAAUUAAACAACAUUUUAAAGGAAUCCCAAUUGAGAUCAGAAAUACUUGUAGAUAUAGAACUCAAUAGUCCCAAUAUAACCAAUACCAUCUCAUUUCCUCGAACAACCACAAUAGGUUGUAUAACCCUUCCCUGCGUCAACAAUACCUGCAGAUAUCACUUCAAUGUAUGCAUAGGAAUGCAAUGUGUAGGUCAUAUCCCCUCAUACCUCUGAGAGUAUAAAACCACAUCAUCUGCUAAUAUCACUUCAAUGAAUGCAUAUAAAUGCAAUGCAUAUGUCCUCUGCCUUCAUACCUCUAAGGGUAUGAAACCGCAUCGUACCCCUCCUCGGGCAACGUACGAUGCUAAGUUGUACCGGUACGGUCGGACCAUAGGUCACGACCAAACUUCAGAUGCAAAUGAAUAAUGUAAUGCAUAUGGCAUGCUGCAUUUAUCAAUAUACUUCACUUCCUACAGAUACAAAACAAACCUCAAAUAAUACUUCAUCUGCCUUCAGAUACAAUACAAACCUCAAAUAAUACUUUAUCUGCCUUCAGGGGUGUAAAUUAAUCUCAUGGGUCAUACUCGAACCAUAAUCAUCAUCAAUAUAUGAUUGAGCAUCAGUAUAAUACAAGCAAGUAAAGCAUCACCAUAGAGUUCAAUUAUGAAAGAAUUCCAUAAUUCUGAAUAUUAGAGCGUAGGCGAUAAAAAAAACAACAAGUCAAAACGGUAGCAACCACUGCUACAUUCACUUGCCUUCAUCGAAGAAGAAAGGUGUACUAGGCAUGAUCCGGAGUGUAGCCACCUGCUAGCGGGCAUAAAAAUUAGUACAAAUAUUUCACAAACAUUUGCUAACAAUCAACAAAUCGCUCGUACACUUGAAACCAAAUCCCGGUGGAAAGACUCCCACCCUGAACCACAUGCCAAACAGCAGCAGCGCUGUUUGUUAAUUUUGUAUCUUUAAAAUUAUAACAGUGGUGAUAUUAAACAAAUACUCUAUGAGUGUCUACACAAAAUAUUCUAUAACUUUGGUAUUCAAUGGAUAAUUAAAUUCUGCCAUCUAUAAGUUCUAAAACAUCUGAUAAGAUAAAUGUCUGAAUCUGUUUCAGACAGCAGCAUAGUUAACUUCAAAAUUCAAUAUCUACCAAACUACUCAACCAAAAAUUAUGAAAUUCUGCUGGCAGUAAGAACUUUUAUCCCUCUACAAAUGUCGCCAUAGUUGGAACAGCCAAUUUGGCUAUUUACUAUAUGAAACCCACCAGUGAACAGACCCGCUCAUUUUUGUCAGGCAAACAGGAACAGCCACAGUAAAACAAACAUAACUGGACUUUCAUAAUUCAUAUGAAUGCGCUCUUUAACAAUCUGGAAAGCUUAUAAAAUUGUCUACAACUUCUUUUACAAUCCUAAAGUUUAAUUCUGUUGAUAAAAUUGCCUAAAGCUUAAGAGAACAGAUUCUGUACAGAAUUAUGAGACUGAAAAACUGCUAUAAUCAAACUGCAAUAACUUUCUGAUCUGAUAUCCGAUUGAGGUGUUCUUAGCGGCCACGGAAAGAUCUACAAAUUAUCUACGACUCAUAGAUAGACUUUUUAUUUUUUUGAGGCCACUAAGACCACAGAAAACUGGCAUGAACAGAAACUAUUGAAUCUGCCAUUCUGCAGAAACUAAUUUCGAGAUUAAAAUCUAAUCUCCCAUCCAAUCUAACCAAAACAACUAAUUGCAGGGCCUAAAACUCAUCCAAAACAAGGGAAAGCAUUCAUCAAGUGGAUAAAAGAGAGAGAGGAAAGGAAAUCCAACCAAUUCUUGGAGAGGAACGACGAUGAUGGGCGACGGUAUGCCCUCAUCUCCCCUCUCUUCUCUUCUUUUUUCUUCCUCUCUUCCCUUGGGGCAAGGCACAAAAGGG